UGGUUCUGGCAUCGAUGAAGAACGCAGCGAAAUGCGAUAAGUAAUGUGAAUUGCAGAAUUCAGUGAAUCAUCGAAUCUUUGAACGCACAUUGCGCCCAUUAGUAUUCUAGUGGGCAUGCCUGUUCGAGCGUCAUUUCAACCCUUAAGCCCCUGUUGCUUAGCGUUGGGAGCCUACGGCCUGCUGUAGCUCCUUAAAGGUAGUGGCGGAGUCGGUUCACACUCUAGACGUAGUAAAAUCUUUAUCUCGCCUAUAGAUGAGCCGGCGCCUUGCCGUAAAACCCCUAAUCUUUCACAAGGUUGACCUCGGAUCAGGUAGGAAUACCCGCUGAACUUAAGCAUAUCAAUAAGCGGAGGAAAAGAAACCAACAGGGAUUGCCCUAGUAACGGCGAGUGAAGCGGCAACAGCUCAAAUUUGAAAUCUGGCCUUCGGGUCCGAGUUGUAAUUUGUAGAGGAUGCUUUGGGUGCGGUGCCUUCCGAGUUCCCUGGAACGGGACGCCUUAGAGGGUGAGAGCCCCGUACGGUUGGACAUCAAGCCUCUGUAAAGCUCCUUCGACGAGUCGAGUAGUUUGGGAAUGCUGCUCUAAAUGGGAGGUAAAUUUCUUCUAAAGCUAAAUAUUGGCCAGAGACCGAUAGCGCACAAGUAGAGUGAUCGAAAGAUGAAAAGCACUUUGAAAAGAGGGUUAAAUAGCACGUGAAAUUGUUGAAAGGGAAGCGUUUGCGACCAGACCUUUUCUCAGCGGAUCAUCCGGUGUUCUCACCGGUGCACUUCGCUGGGUUGAGGCCAGCAUCGGUUUCCGCAGGGGGAUAAAAGCCUGGGGAACGUAGCUCCCUCGGGAGUGUUAUAGCCCCUCGCAUAAUACCCUUGCGGGGACCGAGGACCGC
RNAcentral lists this ribosomal RNA (883 nucleotides) under Xylaria sp. genotype 273. Its description in RNAcentral is "eukaryotic LSU rRNA". The stretch from base 299 to 883 matches the Rfam family "Eukaryotic large subunit ribosomal RNA", at positions 1 to 596 of the family's 3401-position model. Lineage: Eukaryota; Fungi; Ascomycota; Sordariomycetes; Xylariales; Xylariaceae. The record is from RNAcentral.